Molecule: long non-coding RNA, 424 nt
Organism: Mus caroli (Ryukyu mouse)
Lineage: Eukaryota; Metazoa; Chordata; Mammalia; Rodentia; Muridae
Source: RefSeq, a predicted model, not a curated record
CAUGUCUCCUGACUCCAGCGCCCUGUUGAUGAGGGCCACGGAUGACAGCAUCUCCACAGCAACAAGGAAAGCCUACAAGUCUAAUCCCACAAGAUCCAACCUUGAAGCACCUAAAGUAUUCUCCAGUGUCAGGCAAGGGACACUACUGGUGUGGGAGUUUUCCGUCUGAGGAUGAGGAAGAACGGUAGAGAUGAGCCCGGGUCUCUGAAGAGCCCAGAGAAGUGUGUGUGCUUCCUCCCACCCCACCAACAUGACAAAACCAAGAACAAGUCUAAGUAUGGAGUCCAGAUCUUCUGUAAGUGGCAAAGUUACACAACAAUCCCUAAAAACACAAGACCCGGGUCCACUUGGUACAAACAGUCAUGGGUUCCUGCAGAGUGGAGCCAGGAGCCAGGAGGCAGGAGGCAGGAAGGAAGCCCCUGGA